RNAcentral lists this ribosomal RNA (422 nucleotides) under uncultured bacterium. RNAcentral describes it as "partial 16S ribosomal RNA". It matches the Rfam family "Bacterial small subunit ribosomal RNA", at positions 355 to 769 of the family's 1533-position model. The record is from RNAcentral.
UGGGGAAUAUUGCACAAUGGGCGCAAGCCUGAUGCAGCCAUGCCGCGUGUGUGAAGAAGGCCUUCGGGUUGUAAAGCACUUUCAGCGAGGAGGAAGGUGGUGGACUUAAUACGUUCAUCAAUUGACGUUACUCGCAGAAGAAGCACCGGCUAACUCCGUGCCAGCAGCCGCGGUAAUACGGAGGGUGCAAGCGUUAAUCGGAAUUACUGGGCGUAAAGCGCACGCAGGCGGUUUGUUAAGUCAGAUGUGAAAUCCCCGGGCUCAACCUGGGAACUGCAUUGAAACUGGCAAGCUAGAGUCUCGUAGAGGGGGGUAGAAUUCCAGGUGUAGCGGUGAAAUGCGUAGAGAUCUGGAGGAAUACCGGUGGCGAAGGCGGCCCCCUGGACGAAGGACCGACGCUCAGGUGCGAAAGCGUGGGGAGC